This 468-nucleotide ribosomal RNA is filed under the name uncultured bacterium. Its description in RNAcentral is "partial 16S ribosomal RNA". It matches the Rfam family "Bacterial small subunit ribosomal RNA", at positions 28 to 507 of the family's 1533-position model. The record is from RNAcentral.
GACGAACGCUGGCGGCGUGCUUAACACAUGCAAGUCGAACGGAAAGGCCCUGCUUUUGUGGGGUGCUCGAGUGGCGAAAGGGUGAGUAACAAGUGAGUAAACUGCCCUUGUCUUUGGGAUAACUUCAGGAAACUGGGGCUAAUACCGGAUAGGAGCUCCUGCUGCAUGGUGGGGGUUGGAAAGUUUCGGCGGUUGGGGAUGGACUCUCGGCUUAUUAGCUUGUUGGUGGGGUAGUGGCUUACCAAGGCUUAGACGGGUAGCCGGCCUGAGAGGGUGACCGGCCACAUUAGGACUAAGAUACGGCCCAGACUCCUACGGGAGGCAGCGGUGGAAAAUAUUGCACAAUAAGCCGAAGCCUGAUGCGACAACGCCGCGUGCGGAAUGACGGCCUUCGGGUUGUAAACCGCUUUCGCCUGUGACGAAGCGUGAGUGACGGUAAUGGAUAAAGAAGCACCGGCUAACUACGUG